Orcinus orca (killer whale) is the source of this 3258-nucleotide long non-coding RNA. RefSeq lists it as uncharacterized. Lineage: Eukaryota; Metazoa; Chordata; Mammalia; Artiodactyla; Delphinidae. The transcript has 2 exons. The record is from RefSeq and is a predicted model, not a curated record.
UGAGGACUGCAGCCCUGGAAACAGCAUUUCAGAUAACUCUGAGAAACUGCUCCAAGGAGGCGGGGGGGGGGGGGCGGGGGGGGCGGGCAGGAGCCAGGAUAUAUGAGUUUUGCAACCAAGGGAAGGUAGUCGGGAAGUCAAAAGAUUAUGGUUAAUUAAAGAAAACCAGAUAUCUCAAGUUAAGGAAUUUAGUGCUUUUCUAUGUAUGGGAAGAUGCAAGAGUCUGGGCUCACUGAAAUCAUUCCUUUGCUAUGCGCCUCAGCUAUCUGGGGCCAGUACCCUGUAUUUUUCACAUCCUCAGUUUCCUCAGGGCUCAUUGCAGGAAGUGGCUGCAGUCUGAUGGCUGCUAGAUGGCAGGUAUUCUUUUCAGCCCUGAGUUUCCUCAGGGCUCACGGGCUCACGUUGGAGGGUUGCAAUCGUUGAUGACUGUGACAUCCUUUGUUUAUUGAUAUGGCAGGAAAUAUUCCAUUUAUAAAUAUUCCAGGGCUUCCCUGGUGGCGCAGUGGUUGAGAGUAUGCCUGCCGAUGCAGGGGACACGAGUUCGUACCCCGGUCCGGGAAGAUCCCACGUGCCGCGGAGCGGCAGAGCGGCUGGGCCAGUGAGCCAUGGCCGCUGAGCCUGCGCGUCCGCAGCCUGUGCUCCGCAACGGGAGAGGCCACAACAGUGAGAGGUCCGCGUAACACACACACACACACACACACACACACACACACACACACACACACAAAUAUAUAUAUAUAUAUAUAUUCCAUUCGAUUUAUAAAUGUUUGAUUUAUCAGUAUUAAAAAGCAUCCCAGGUGAUUGUAAUUAAAGGGAUCACUGGAAACAUAGUCCUAAUCCUACCCUUAACCCUCAAUCCUUUACUGAGCCUUUUUCCUAGAGCUAAGGAUACCUACAAUGGCUUCCAGAGCGGGGAGAUGUUUCUGGAGAGAGAACUUCCUGGGUUCCAGUCUGAUCCUGCUCCUUAAUAGCGUGGUGAUUCUUAGCAAGUUACAUAAUUAAGCUUCUGAAUCCAGUUUCCUUAUCUGUAAAGGAUUUCUCUUUCUUUUUUGCAGUAAUUUUAAUAAUGAGUAAUUUUACUAUCUGAAUUAGGUUUAGGACACCUGUUUAAAUCCCACCUUCACAGAUUAUGACAAAUGUUAGAGAAUUGAAAUAUCUUGGAGGCAAGACUGUAAAGGUAAAUCGCUGGCUGCCGAGUGAGAGCAAACUGCUGUUGAUAUUUAAAACGUAUUGGGAUUGAAAACAAUGCUUGUAAAAUCAAUAACAGGAUUUCAGUCAGGGGUGAUUUAGAAAGCUCUUCCUAUAGAGAAACAAUGUCAGCCAUAGUUAACACAAAAUUCAUUGUUUUCUGUAAUUCUCAGUCAACACCCAGAUCCAUCUGCUUUUCUGAUAACCCCAAGUGAGAGUUAAAGGGGAAAGAGGCAGGAGGUGGGAACAGACUCCCAGUUAUUCCAGUAUCCUAGGUGUGGUUUCACUGAUGAUCCUGGGCCUGGUACUAUUUCCUAUUACCAUUUAGUAGGACAAGAGAGCUCCACGUUUCUGUUUUUAGCAGCCAGUAUCUAUCCAUUUGAGUAUGUUCUUUCUCCAAGAUUGCAAUACCUUAAUUUCAAUAAUCAUCUCAUGGUUAAUAGUGUUGUAUCAAUGUUAACUUCCUGAUUUUGAAAUUUUGUACUAUGGUUAUGUAAGAAGUUAACAUAAGGGAAAUCAAGGUGAAGAGUAUAGCUGGGCUAUUUUUGCAACUUUUUUGUAACUCUAAAAUUAUUGCCAAAUAAAAAGUUAAAAUACCAGGGAGUGAUAAAACCACCCUAGAGGAUUCCUUUGGUCCUCCGUGUCCAAGUUGUAGGGGUAGUAAAACCUGCUCACCUCAGUCAGAUCCUUGCUCUUCCAUAUCCUUGAACACAUAGUCUUUCCCAUUUGAUUGAAGUUUCCAGGAAUUUGCAUUAUGUCUGAUCCUGUAUCCAAAAUCCCGUGCCUUCGGUUUUUAAGUAAAAAUAAAAGACACAUUUUUUAUUUUCACCAAAAACUUUUUGAACAACAUAUUCACCCUUUUGUUCCACUACCUUCUGCCAUUUUUCAGGCAACUUCAUGAUUCCAUCUUCCCAAAACUUUUUAUCUUUUUGAGCAAAGAACUGUUGCAGGUGCCUUUUACAGUUUUCCAGGGAAUUGAAAUUUUUUCCAUUAAAAGAAUUUUGUAAAGACUGAAAUAAAUGGAAUUCCGAAGGUGCAAUGUCUGGUGAAUACAGCGGAUGAAUCAGAACUUCCCAGCCAGGGCUUCCCUGGUGGCGCAGUGGUUGGGAGUCCGCCUGCUGAUGCAGGGGACGCGGGUUCGUGCCCCGGGUCCGGGAGGAUCCUACGUGCCGCGGAGCGACUGGGCCCGUGAGCCGUGGCCGCUGAGCCUGCGCGUCCGGAGCCUGUGCUCCGCAAUGGGAGAGGCCGCAGCAGUGAGAGGCUCGCGUACCGCAAAAAACAAACAAACAGAACUUCCCAGCCAGGUUGUAACAGUUUUUGCCUGGUCAUCAAAGAAACAUGUGAUCUUGCGUUAUCCUGAGGGAGGAUUAUGCGGAUUCUGUUGACUAAUUCCGGACACUUUUCAUCAAGUGCUGCUUUCAUCUGGUCUAAUUGAGAGCAGUACUUGUUGGAAUUAAUCGUUUGGUUUUCCAGAAGGAGCUCAUAAUAGAGGACUCUCUUCCAAUCGCACCGUAUACACAACAUCACCUUCUUUGGAUGAAGACCGGCUUUUGGUGUGGUUGGUGGUGGUUCAUUUCACUUGCCCCACCAUCUCUUCCAUUCCACAUUCUCAUACAGUAUCCACUUUUCAUCACCCGUCACAAUUUGUUUUAAAAACGGAAUGUUUUUGUUACGUUUAAAUAGAGAAUUGCAUGUGGAAAUACGGUCAAGAAGGGGUUUUUUCGCUUAAUUUAUGUGGACCCCAAACAUCAAAGCGAUUCACAUAACCAAGCUGGAGCAAAUGAUUUUCAGCGCUUGAUUUGGGUAUUUUGAGUAUGUUGGCUAUCUCCCUCGUAAUAUAACGUCGAUUGUUCUCAGUUAAUGCCUCCACGUGAUUGCUAUCAACUUCAACUUGUCUACCCGACCGUGGAGCAUCAUCCAGCAAGAAAUCUCCAGCACGAAACUCGACAAACCAUUUUUGACAUGUUCAGUCAGCCAUAGCACCUUCUCCAUACGCUGCACAAAUCUUUUUUGUGUGUUUCAGUUGCGUUUUUACCUUUCUUGAAAUAAUAAAGCAUAAUAUGCUAAAAA